This 543-nucleotide ribosomal RNA is filed under the name uncultured bacterium. RNAcentral's name for it is "bacterial SSU rRNA". It matches the Rfam family "Bacterial small subunit ribosomal RNA", at positions 355 to 912 of the family's 1533-position model. The record is from RNAcentral.
UGGGGAAUCUUGGACAAUGGGGGCAACCCUGAUCCAGCCAUGCCGCGUGAGUGAUGAAGGCCUUAGGGUCGUAAAGCUCUUUCGCCUGUGAAGAUAAUGACGGUAGCAGGUAAAGAAACCCCGGCUAACUCCGUGCCAGCAGCCGCGGUAAUACGGAGGGGGUUAGCGUUGUUCGGAAUUACUGGGCGUAAAGCGCACGUAGGCGGACCAGAAAGUUGGGGGUGAAAUCCCGGGGGCUCAACCCCGGAACUGCCUCCAAAACUAUUGGUCUAGAGUUCGAGAGAGGUGAGUGGAAUUCCAAGUGUAGAGGUGAAAUUCGUAGAUAUUUGGAGGAACACCAGUGGCGAAGGCGGCUCACUGGCUCGAUACUGACGCUGAGGUGCGAAAAGUGUGGGGAGCAAAACAGGAUUAGAUACCCUGGUAGUCCACACCGUAAAACGAUGAAUGCCAGUCGUCGGGUAGCAUGCUAUUCGGUGACACACCUAACGGAUUAAGCAUUCCGCCUGGGGAGUACGGUCGCAAGAUUAAAACUCAAAUGAAUUG